Molecule: long non-coding RNA, 706 nt
Organism: Choloepus didactylus (southern two-toed sloth)
Lineage: Eukaryota; Metazoa; Chordata; Mammalia; Pilosa; Megalonychidae
Exons: 4
Source: RefSeq, a predicted model, not a curated record
AGCGCGUGCCGCCCCUCACCUGUCUGCAGCCACAUGUAAACCUUGGGAGAAACCCGGGGAUAGCUUCUGUGGCUCAGGAACGUUUCACGUUUUUGCAGAGGUCAGGGUGAGCAGAAUUCAGAACCACAUGCGCUCGACUCAGACUUCGCUUCUGCUUGAAUGAAGUUGGAAAUGGAUUCUUCCCCAGAUAAGAAACCAGCUCACCAACACCUUGAAUUUGGUCUUGGGAGACCCUAAGCAGAGAACACAGAGCCGGCGGUCACCAUCCACCCACUGGGAUGUGGCAUGUGGGACAGGAAGAAGGUGGAUCUGAGCCCGUGGUCCUAAACAGGGGAAUGAUGAAAGGAAUCAUCACAAAAGGAUUCAAAAGAUUCAUCUAUACUCAGAAGUAUUAGUCACAAUGUAAUUUGAGGAUAAUGAUGAACUCAUGUUUUACCUAAAUCAAGCAGUGAUAAAUGAAAAGUGAUAAAUGAUAAAGCAGAAAUGAUCCUCUAAGCAGUCCUGCCACUGACCAUGACUUAGGGAAACUAGCAGACAAUACCAUAAAUGUUUUGUAGGUGUCACAAUGACAGGAAUCCAAUUCCCCAGCAGUCUCUGUGGCAACGUAAGACAGUUGGCAUAAACCAAUGAGUUUCUAUGAUAAUUUUUAUUACUAAUUAAUCUUGCUACUUAUCACAGUUACUAUUACUUUAGAUACCAAUUGGUA